Molecule: long non-coding RNA, 557 nt
Organism: Lolium rigidum
Lineage: Eukaryota; Viridiplantae; Streptophyta; Magnoliopsida; Poales; Poaceae
Exons: 2
Source: RefSeq, a predicted model, not a curated record
AUCGUUUCCGACUCUGGUCGCGUGGCAUCGCCGCACCGAUGGGUGGGACUGCCAGGCGCAAAUCUGGAAGGUGUAGCAGUGCGAGUCGGCUUUCCCAUGGUGCGUGCACGUCGCGGCCGCCGGUAGCUCUUUGGAUGAACGGGGCGACUGAAUUUUUUCGGCUCUUUGGAUGGAGGAGGGAGGGAGUAGAUCGAGGGUUAAGCAGCGACCAUGGCGUGUGGUCUACCACGUACGCCUCAUUUGCCGUGCGCAAGAGAAAUUGAGAAAAGAGAUGAGAAUAGCUGGAGACAUAGAUUUGGUUUGUGUGUUUACUGCUGCUGCCGCUGACUGCUAGCGCGCGUGUUUGCCUGCCAAUUGCAAAGCGCCUCAGGCCGGCAACCAGCGGGCCACGCCUCCAUCCAACGGCACCGCGUUCAGGUUUUUUUGACAUACGAAGUGGUGAUCCUAUUACUGCUUUGUUGACUUCUGUCAUGUCUUUGGAUACUUCACCGUUCAGAUCAUGUGGUGAUCUUGCUUAGCUUAUGUAAGUAAUUAGUCUGAGAUGUUUGAUUUAUUGA